GUGUCAACGUCAUCCUUUUUCCAGGUUUCGUGCUAGCCUACCGCGCCUUCCGAUGGUGCUUCACAUCUACCACGCCGCCGUGGGGGAGAAGGAGUUUCAGUUUUCCACCAACAUCAACAAGCUCACGCAGGAGACGUACGAGCUUGACGUUAACGAAGCCAUCGAGGAGGUCAGCUCCACCAUUCUCGAGCAGCUGACGGACGAGGAUGCGCUCUGCUGCGUGUGCAAGGCAGCACCUGCGACACGACUGAUUCACCACACGAUGCUCUUUGCCGAGACCUUUCCUCCACGCGUGGAGGACCUGCCGCAGCCCGUGUGCAACUCCGCCAACUGCGAGGUAGUAGCCAAGUCGCGGUACUUGAUGGACAUGGAGGAUGCCACCACAGCACAGGGGAUGCCGAGCCCCAACGGCUGCUUUCAUUGUCACAAGGGGGCGCGGGGCGCAGCGACAACGUCAGUACCGCUUCAGCGCUGCAGUCGGUGCAAGGUGGCCAAGUAUUGCAGUGUCGAGUGCCAGAAGGCGGACUGGAAGGUGCACAAGCAGGUGUGUACCCCCGGGUAGGUGAAGAAUGACGCAGAGGAAGAAGGGAGGAUAGAAAAGGUAGACGCGGGCAGUGUCGACCGUCACGCGCGCGCGCCUCUCUCUGGUGGCCCCCUUCAGGUUCUUCUUGCCGCUUCUUGCUCUCGACGCCGCAGCGCUGCUGCUGCUGCUAACUGUUUCGACCCACUGCAUCCCCCCCGCUCACGCUCAUCGCACGGAGGGUCUGCUGUCUCCAUGUGUGCGCACGUGUGUGCCGCUUUCGCUUCUGCAGAGUGCGCGUCACACACGUACACCCAUGCCGUUUUCGCCCAGCCGCACAUGAGAAUACACGUGCAUAGCCUCGAAAAGGGCGGAUGGAGGGGGUUGAGCAGCGAUGACGGACGGACAUGGGGGAAGGGGGGAUAGGAGGAUAGGGAGAGGGAGGGACAAUCACAUGAAUCGCGUUCUGCUUCCUCCCCCUUCCCUCCCUCCCUCUCCUUCUCCAGCCCCUGUUCUUCAUCAUCACUCCACAGCUCAUCUAUCGCUGCCGUAUACAUCUUGCAUAUCGCGGCGUAAGCCGCCUAUGUGUGUGUGUGUGCUGCAUGCAGACAAGAAGACGGACUGGACAGUUGUUCAGCAUCGCGCACCGGAUCGCGUGCGGAUGCGCCGAAGCGAGAAAACAAGC
This 1205-nucleotide unclassified non-coding RNA is filed under the name Leishmania donovani. RNAcentral's name for it is "gene:LdHU3.06.0370(CDS-product:MYND_finger_domain -like_protein)". The record is from RNAcentral. Lineage: Eukaryota; Euglenozoa; Kinetoplastea; Trypanosomatida; Trypanosomatidae.